AUACCUUUCUCGGGCUUUUGGCUAAGAUCAAGUGUAGCAUCUGUUCUUAUCAGUUUAAUAUCUGAUAAGUGAUUUAAUGAACCACACGAUAUUAAAUUAAUUUCUAAAAGGUCCAAAAUGAUAAAGGGCCCAAACGGUAGCUUGUUAUCAUGAACUUUUAGGGUUGGGGUCCUAGAGGGCUAGAGGAGUUACAAUUUUAAAAGA
Small nuclear RNA from Cryptomeria japonica (Japanese cedar), 204 nucleotides. RefSeq annotates it as U2 spliceosomal RNA. The transcript has a single exon. The record is from RefSeq and is a predicted model, not a curated record. NCBI's taxonomy places the organism in Eukaryota, Viridiplantae, Streptophyta, Pinopsida, Cupressales, Cupressaceae.